RNAcentral lists this ribosomal RNA (319 nucleotides) under uncultured eukaryote. RNAcentral's name for it is "partial 18S ribosomal RNA". It matches the Rfam family "Eukaryotic small subunit ribosomal RNA", at positions 1470 to 1796 of the family's 1831-position model. The record is from RNAcentral.
CCCUUAGAUGUUCUGGGCAGCGCGCGCGCUACAAUGGUCUUCGCAAACGGAUGCAUUCUCGAAGGAGAAUGCCAAUCUUGGAAUCUAUGCCUUGGUCGGGACAGUUGCUUGCAAUUUUUCGACUCGAACCAGGAAUUCCUUGUAAUCGUGAUUCAUCACAUCACGAUGAAUACGUCCCUGCCCUUUGUACACACCGCCCGUCGCUCCUACCGAUCGAAGAGUUAGGUGAAUUGUUUUGAUCGAUAAGAUUUGACUAUGGUCAACUCUCGUUGUGAAAUUCUGUGAAUCUGACUGUUUAGAGGAAGGAAAAGUCGUAACA